This 253-nucleotide ribosomal RNA is filed under the name uncultured bacterium. RNAcentral's name for it is "partial 16S ribosomal RNA". It matches the Rfam family "Bacterial small subunit ribosomal RNA", at positions 524 to 776 of the family's 1533-position model. The record is from RNAcentral.
GACAGAGGAUGCAAGCGUUAUCCGGAAUUAUUGGGCGUAAAGCGUCUGUAGGUGGCUUUUUAAGUCUGCCGUCAAAUCCCAGGGCUUAACCCUGGACAGGCGGUGGAAACUACCAAGCUGGAGUACGGUAGGGGCAGGGGGAAUUUCCGGUGGAGCGGUGAAAUGCGUAGAGAUCGGAAAGAACACCAACGGCGAAAGCACUCUGCUGGGCCGACACUGACACUGAGACGCGAAAGCGUGGGGAGCGAACAGG